This 380-nucleotide ribosomal RNA is filed under the name uncultured eukaryote. RNAcentral's name for it is "partial 18S ribosomal RNA". It matches the Rfam family "Eukaryotic small subunit ribosomal RNA", at positions 592 to 976 of the family's 1831-position model. The record is from RNAcentral.
CAAUAGCGUAUAUUAAAGUUGUUGCGGUUAAAAAGCUCGUAGUUGGAUUUCUGCUGAGAACGACCGGUCCGCCCUCUGGGUGUGUAUCUGGCUCUUUCUUGGCAUCUUCUUGGUGAACGUUGCUGCACUUGACUGUGUGGAGCGCUACCCAGGACUUUUACUUUGAGGAAAUUAGAGUGUUUCAAGCAGGCAUACGCCUUGAAUACAUUAGCAUGGAAUAAUAAGAUAGGACCUCGGUUCUAUUUUGUUGGUUUCUAGAGCUGAGGUAAUGAUUAAUAGGGAUAGUUGGGGGCAUUCGUAUUUAACUGUCAGAGGUGAAAUUCUUGGAUUUGUUAAAGACGGACGACUGCGAAAGCAUUUGCCAAGGAUGUUUUCAUUGA